RNAcentral lists this long non-coding RNA (285 nucleotides) under Brassica napus (rape). RNAcentral describes it as "long non-coding RNA (BNAP_LNC017795)". Lineage: Eukaryota; Viridiplantae; Streptophyta; Magnoliopsida; Brassicales; Brassicaceae. The record is from RNAcentral.
UUAUCGUUUUUAUCCUUAUUCUAAAGAUCUAGAUUUGGUUAACUUUUACAGCUACCAACUCUGAUGGAAGCAAAGAAGCAGUCAACACAGCUCAACCAGCCACAACAACCGCCACAACAAUUAGUGGUCAGCACAUCUCAGCCAGCCACAUCAAUAAGCACUCAAGGAAGCUCAACCUCAGGAGUAACUAAUGUAUACAAGCUAAGCAAAGCCGAGCUCAAACACUACCAAUUGACACGCAUUGAGGAACCAGAAGAACACAUCGACCCAGACUACUUGCAUUAU